This 593-nucleotide ribosomal RNA is filed under the name Salmonella enterica subsp. enterica serovar Infantis. Its description in RNAcentral is "partial 23S ribosomal RNA". It matches the Rfam family "Bacterial large subunit ribosomal RNA", at positions 596 to 1190 of the family's 2925-position model. Lineage: Bacteria; Pseudomonadati; Pseudomonadota; Gammaproteobacteria; Enterobacterales; Enterobacteriaceae. RNAcentral also lists the same sequence under 2 other names. The record is from RNAcentral.
ACUGCGUACCUUUUGUAUAAUGGGUCAGCGACUUAUAUUCUGUAGCAAGGUUAACCGUAUAGGGGAGCCGGAGGGAAACCGAGUCUUAAUUGGGCGUUAAGUUGCAGGGUAUAGACCCGAAACCCGGUGAUCUAGCCAUGGGCAGGUUGAAGGUUGGGUAACACUAACUGGAGGACCGAACCGACUAAUGUUGAAAAAUUAGCGGAUGACCUGUGGCUGGGGGUGAAAGGCCAAUCAAACCGGGAGAUAGCUGGUUCUCCCCGAAAGCUAUUUAGGUAGCGCCUCGUGAAUUCAUCUCCGGGGGUAGAGCACUGUUUCGGCUAGGGGGCCAUCCCGGCUUACCAACCCGAUGCAAACUGCGAAUACCGGAGAAUGUUAUCACGGGAGACACACGGCGGGUGCUAACGUCCGUCGUGAAGAGGGAAACAACCCAGACCGCCAGCUAAGGUCCCAAAGUCAUGGUUAAGUGGGAAACGAUGUGGGAAGGCCCAGACAGCCAGGAUGUUGGCUUAGAAGCAGCCAUCAUUUAAAGAAAGCGUAAUAGCUCACUGGUCGAGUCGGCCUGCGCGGAAGAUGUAACGGGGCUAAACCAU